Molecule: long non-coding RNA, 374 nt
Filed under: Brassica napus (rape)
Lineage: Eukaryota; Viridiplantae; Streptophyta; Magnoliopsida; Brassicales; Brassicaceae
Description: long non-coding RNA (BNAP_LNC024845)
Source: RNAcentral
UCUGAGGUCUGAGGUAUUGAUAGAGUUAUACAUAUUUAGGAUCGCCUUCUUAAUUUUUCUUGUUUUACUAUCAAAAAUGACUUAUAUCCUUCCUAGCUCGUGUUGUUUUUGAAUUUGGGACUGAGGUAUUGAUAGAGUUGCAUUGAUAAUGGAUAGGAUUGUGAAAGUAUGUGUGUGUUUCUUUUUCUUAAUUCAGGAAGGGUUUGUAUUGUUUCAGGAAAGCCUUCCAGAAAAGUUUGAAAAAAAAAAUUUCCCCUUGUUUACGCAGGAUAGAAACAAAUGGAAGAUUCAUUACCUCUCACACUAACUCUGCCUGAGCUCAAGUGCCCUAUUGGUUCAGAUCCAAAGGAAAAAAAGGUGUCAAUAAACCAACA